Molecule: ribosomal RNA, 253 nt
Filed under: uncultured bacterium
Lineage: Bacteria
Description: partial 16S ribosomal RNA
Rfam family: Bacterial small subunit ribosomal RNA
Source: RNAcentral
UACGGAGGGUGCAAGCGUUGUUCGGAUUUAUUGGGCGUAAAGCGCGCGCAGGCGGAAAAUCAAGUCAGAUGUGAAAUCUCGGGGCUCAACCCCGAAACUGCGUCUGAAACUAAUUUUCUAGAGUAUCGGAGAGGAAAGCGGAAUUUCGCAUGUAGGGGUAAAAUCCGUAGAGAUGCGAAGGAACACCAGAGGCGAAGGCGGCUUUCUGGACGAUUACUGACGCUGAGGCGCGAAAGCGUGGGGAGCAAACAGG